RNAcentral lists this ribosomal RNA (484 nucleotides) under uncultured bacterium. RNAcentral describes it as "partial 16S ribosomal RNA". It matches the Rfam family "Bacterial small subunit ribosomal RNA", at positions 30 to 507 of the family's 1533-position model. The record is from RNAcentral.
AUUGAACGCUGGCGGCAGGCCUAACACAUGCAAGUCGAGCGGAGGAGGGGAGCUUGCGCCUGGAUUCAGCGUCGGACGGGUGUGUAAUGCCUAGGAAUCUGCCUGGUCGUGGUGGAUAACGUCCGGAAACGGGCGCUAAUACCGCAUACGUCCUGAGGGAGAUAGUGGGGGAUCUUCGGACCUCACGCUAUCAGAUGAGCCUAGGUCGGAUUAGCUAGUUGGUGGGGUAAAGGCCUACCAAGGCGACGAUCCGUAACUGGUCUGAGAGGAUGAUCAGUCACACUGUAACUGAGACACGGACCAGACUCCUACGGGACGCAGCAGUGGGGAAGAUUGGACAAUGGGCGAAUGCCUGAUCCAGUCAUGCCGCGUGUGUGAAGAAGGUCUUCGGAUUGUAAAGCACUUUAAGUUGGGAGGAAGGGCAGUAAGUUAAUACCUUGCUGUUGUGACGGUACCAACAGAAUAAGCACCGGCUAACUACGUG